This 130-nucleotide non-coding RNA is filed under the name Spirochaetota bacterium. RNAcentral's name for it is "Spirochaetes bacterium (freshwater sediment metagenome) 6S RNA". It matches the Rfam family "6S / SsrS RNA". Rfam says of the family: E. coli 6S RNA was the first non coding RNA to be sequenced, but its function was unknown until recently. Lineage: Bacteria; Pseudomonadati; Spirochaetota. The record is from RNAcentral.
UCAGGCCUGGAAUGUUCGUGAUGCUAUGAAUAAUAAUUGACCCAACGCUAUUUUAAAAGGGAUCUUUUCAAGAACCCACUAUUUUAAAAUGGUUCAAUUUUUUCAUUGCGCACGGCAUUCCGGGUUAAUU